RNAcentral lists this ribosomal RNA (684 nucleotides) under uncultured bacterium. RNAcentral describes it as "bacterial SSU rRNA". It matches the Rfam family "Bacterial small subunit ribosomal RNA", at positions 13 to 745 of the family's 1533-position model. The record is from RNAcentral.
UUGAUCCUGGCUCAGAACGAACGCUGGCGGCAGGCCUAAUACAUGCAAGUCGAGCGCACCUUCGGGUGAGCGGCGAACGGGUGAGUAACGCGUGGGAAUGUGCCCUUCUCUGCGGAAUAGCCAUUGGAAACGAUGAGUAAUACCGCAUACGCCCUUCGGGGGAAAGAUUUAUCGGAGAAGGAUCAGCCCGCGUUAGAUUAGGUAGUUGGUGGGGUAAUGGCCUACCAAGCCUACGAUCUAUAGCUGGUUUUAGAGGAUGAUCAGCAACACUGGGACUGAGACACGGCCCAGACUCCUACGGGAGGCAGCAGUGGGGAAUCUUGGACAAUGGGGGAAACCCUGAUCCAGCCAUGCCGCGUGAGCGAUGAAGGCCUUAGGGUUGUAAAGCUCUUUCACCGGGGAAGAUAAUGACGGUACCCGGAGAAGAAGCCCCGGCUAACUCCGUGCCAGCAGCCGCGGUAAUACGGAGGGGGCUAGCGUUGUUCGGAAUUACUGGGCGUAAAGCGCGCGUAGGCGGGCUGUUAAGUCGGGGGUGAAAUCCCGGGGCUCAACCCCGGAACUGCCUCCGAUACUGGCAGCCUAGAGUUCUGGAGAGGUGAGUGGAAUUCCGAGUGUAGAGGUGAAAUUCGUAGAUAUUCGGAGGAACACCAGUGGCGAAGGCGGCUCACUGGCCAGACACUGACG